This 785-nucleotide long non-coding RNA is filed under the name Homo sapiens (human). RNAcentral's name for it is "non-protein coding lnc-PRSS33-2:2". Lineage: Eukaryota; Metazoa; Chordata; Mammalia; Primates; Hominidae. The record is from RNAcentral.
GGGACCCCUUCCCACUGGGCACUGGACCCCUUCUCACUGGGUGCUGGGGGCUUCUCGCUGGGCGCUGAGGGACCCUCCUCACUGGGUACUGGGACCCCUCCUCACUGGGCGCUGAGGGACCCUCCUCAGGGGGUGCUGGGACCCCUCCUCACUGGGCGCUGAGGGACCCUCCUCACUGGGUGCUGGGACCUCCACCUCACUGGGCACUGGGAUCCCUUCUUACUGGGUGUUGGGGGCCUUCCUCACUGGGCGUUGAGGGCCCCUCACCACUGUGUCCUGGGGCCCCUCACCGGCCUAACCGUUUCCUUCUCUUGCCCUCAGCCAUCCUCAAUGCGGCCAGGAUACCUGUUCCCCCAGCCUGUGGGAAGCCCCAGCAGCUGAACCGGGUUGUGGGCGGCGAGGACAGCACUGACAGCGAGUGGCCCUGGAUCGUGAGCAUCCAGAAGAAUGGGACCCACCACUGCGCAGGUUCUCUGCUCACCAGCCGCUGGGUGAUCACUGCUGCCCACUGUUUCAAGGAGUAUGUACAGCCGGCCUGGGGCACUUGAUCUUCUAAGGCCCUGGGCUUUGUGCCCCAGGCCCUGGGCUCCCUUUACAGGCUCUGCUUCCGGGCCUCUGUUCAAUCUUGGUGCCCCUCGAUUCUACCUAGAAGCCUCUCCUGCCUUCAGGGGCCUUCACACCCAUGCUGUUCCCCCAGGUACCUCCUCCCAGACCAGGCCUGGCUGAUCCUCCCCUUCCCUUUCCUUCCAGCAACCUGAACAAACCAUACCUGUUCUCUGUGCUGC